Long non-coding RNA from Anguilla rostrata (American eel), 1308 nucleotides. RefSeq lists it as uncharacterized. The record is from RefSeq and is a predicted model, not a curated record. The transcript is spliced from 4 exons. NCBI's taxonomy places the organism in Eukaryota, Metazoa, Chordata, Actinopteri, Anguilliformes, Anguillidae.
UCCAAAUUUUAAAAAAUAAAAUAAUAAAAGCCGGUGCUGCGCGAGGACGCUCUGUAAUGGAGAAGUCUUUAUUUUCCCCCAUUGCAGUCUGGUGCUUUCGGAGCCUAAGUGAAGCAGUGGUUUGGCAUGUUAGCGAGUGUGUGGAAGCUAAUCAGAGAGAGGGGCAUCGUAAUGGACAGAAUAUGGGCGGAAUCACAGAGAGACGGACUGCGGCAGGAGCAAGUAAUAAAACUAAUUUCUCCUCCAUCUUUGUCACCGUGCCGAGGAAAAUGGGGUCAACAGAGGUGGAGGCAACACAAAAUGAACAGCUGUUGCCUUCACACAGCGCGGAUCUGUGGCGGAGAAACUCUGCGAAAUGCGAGCAGAUUUUCCCCCAAAUGCAGAACUGUCUCUAAUACAUCCUGCAGCAACCUGGGCCAAUUGACAGGAAUCCAUCAUAUUACCUGGCACGCUGGCAUGGCACCAGCCCUGAAGCCUGCAAGUCUUUGGAGUGUGGGAGGAGACCAGAGUACCCGGAGGAAACCCAUGAAGCUCUGAGAGGAUGUGGCUGGCCAGGACUUGAAACUGGAACCUCCUUCUGUGCUGACCACUGCACCUCCAUGCCGUCCAAGCUUCAGCUGUACUCUGGAGCAGAUGUGAGCUCUGCGUAGGGUGAAGAUGGAGGAAAGUGCCAGAAGGAAGGUGCCUAAUGUAUGCUUCAGCCUCCCAUGAAAUGGAGUUAUUUUGUGUGGGAAGGGGCUGAUGGUCGAUGCAGGUGUGGCGUCAUACAAUCGACACAUGGGAAAUGGAGCAUGAAUCACCAGGCACAUUGUGAUUGUCCACCUCAGAAUACACCUUAUCUGUCUCCAUAUGAAGGUGUGCAAUGUGGAAGCAGUGUAUAAUAAGGGACACUUUUUCCAGUAUAAUCUAACUACACAGGCAAAUUGCUACCAGCCGUACAGGCAGAGCACUGUGUUUGUGUCAGCAAAUGUCAACAAACAUAAUAAUCUUUAUAGCGUGCUUUGACAUACAUCACUAAGCAGGAUUGUCAAAUAAUCAAUUUUGUCCACCAGCCUGAUUUUCUACUAAACAGUUUGACUUUUAUGCUUGCAUUUGGCACAGGUUUCUACAACUGAUGUAUGUAACUUUGGUGAGACUGAGGUUAAGAAUAAUUGCACUUCAUUGAACUAAUAAAUAACUUUCUUCUCCGAUGUACAUCAAAAAUAAAGUUGCUUCUGAAUCUUUUGUUGAGGCCUAAAUUAAAUAGAAAUUGAUUUUUUUACGUACUUCAUGCCAGGCAGGGAACAGGGAAAUAUGCAAUUUCACCUG